UUGAAAGGGAAACGAUUGAAGUCAGUCAUGCCGACGGGAAUCAACUUAGAGGAAACUCUGAGUGCACUUCUCCGUUUGGCAGGUUAGUGUCGAUUUUGGAUAUCAUAAAAUAAUUGGGAGAAGGGAGGUAUUUCCCCUUUGGGGGAUUUUAUAGCCUUGAUAGAUGUGAUGUCUGGGAUCGAGGAUUGCAACGGAUACCUUUGGGGCUAACCGCCUGAUCUCUAAUUGGUGUUGGGUUACGGACAGCAUGCUGACCGUGAUCUAAUUACUGGUUAAAAGGUUAGAGUGUGCAUAAAUCGUUAAGGAUGUUGACGUA
This 316-nucleotide ribosomal RNA is filed under the name uncultured Glomeromycotina. RNAcentral's name for it is "LSU rRNA". Lineage: Eukaryota; Fungi; Glomeromycota. The record is from RNAcentral.